GGGCGAUUAGCUCAGUUGGUUAGAGCACUUGUUUUACACACAAGGGGUCAAAGGUUCGAGUCCUUUAUCGCCCACCA
Molecule: transfer RNA, 77 nt
Filed under: Chloroflexota bacterium
Lineage: Bacteria; Bacillati; Chloroflexota
Also listed under: 2 other names
Description: tRNA-Val
Rfam family: tRNA
About the family: Transfer RNA (tRNA) molecules are approximately 80 nucleotides in length. Their secondary structure includes four short double-helical elements and three loops (D, anti-codon, and T loops).
Source: RNAcentral